GCCCGAGCAAGGCUGAGGGUGGCGGCUCUCUCAGUUCCAGUAUUCGUUCAGUAGCGCUGGCGAGGCGACCCCCAGGCUUGCCGCGACACACGCUCUCUAGCAGCACGGUGUUGCCCGGGUGACGGGACCAGACCUGGAAGUGGAAAAUAUCGUAAAGUGAACCGUGCAAAGGAAACCAGCUGAAAAGUGACUGGGAAAUAAUCACUCUGAACAAUGAGAAACGUGAGACAGUGACACGAAACAAAACAAAAACAAAACAAAACAAAAAGUUCAUAAACUAUAGAUUAAAAAAAGACAAGGAAAACAACUCUCAGCAGACAUAAAAAGAAAGUAGAACAAAACAGCUUUACAGAAUACAGGAUAAGAACAUUUUUCCUACAUCACAUCUCUCCUAUUUACUAACCUCUUAUUUGAAGAGUACAGGAUCACAUAUCACACGCACAUUAUAGCGUCACCCAGCACUUCACGCCAUAGGAUAUACAUAUUGCUGUCACUGAAAUAAAAAAGAAAAAAGAUUCAUAAGGAAAACAGUGAGAGAGGAACAAAUGAAAGAAUCAGAGUAAAUAAUGAUAAUGGAGCAGCAAUAGUGAAGUUAUAUAGCAAAGGACAACUUGCAACACCGUAUACAUAACUGCCCAGUGUGUCUCCCACGGCACUACAACAUCGAACAAAGCAACAUAUUCUGAAAUAUUUCUGUGCCUCACCUGCAGCACUUUCUAAAGGCACGCUACAAGCAGAUCUGCUCUAGUGGCAGUUCAACGAGAUAUCCACACUAUCAAAAGGAGAGGCAGUCUUGAGAACCCGGCUAAUCAUCUCUGUGACCUUUGAAAACCCGUGGUGAAAAAGCAAAGCGUUUCUGAAUACUGGAAUAAGUGCGUGGAAAACUGAUAAGUAAGUGCUCGCCUGCCGUUCCAUAGCCAACGGGGGACUGCCACGUGCCACUCACAACAAUGGAGUUCGGGUUGGAUGCCUCGACACUACAGCUCUGCGCUCAAGCCAGGGGGCGACUGGCGGGCUGUCCAUCUCAUCUCUCCGUCAAUGGAUACCGGGACCUCCUCCACGCACUGCCUCACUCCUCCCAGCCAGAACACACUCGCGGCGCCGCUCUCUACGUCACGGCAGUGGUGGUGUUCUACGUGGCCCUGCUGCUGGUACUCGUGGGCGGUGGGCUAAGGCGACGGGCGGCACGGGCGGCUUCCACAUCAGGGCGCCGCCACAUCCUUACCUAUUACCCAGCCACGCACACCGCCACGCCUGCCCUUGCUGACCACCAUCCUCAACCUGACGCCUCGGCCACCCAGGUGUAAUAAUGAGCAGCGUUCACCACAGUUUCAGGUGACGCGAGGGAAAGGAGAAGGAGAGGUCGUUGGCGCCUCUUGGCCGUAAACCUCCUAGUGUCCUCCAGCAGGCAGCGAACGAGGGGCUUAUACCAGACUUUCCCUGCAGGGGUCGACGUCGCUGCCUUAAUGUCAGUGAGCAGUAAAGAGUGUCUCCUUUGUCUCAGGCUCGGCACACACGCGUCUUUGGUCUAACUGAUACCAACUGCCAGCGACGCCUUCUUGUGAGUAGGAUAUUGGCCAAAAGCAACGCAGUACGUGUUGUGACAGGCGUGUGGGAGUGUGCACUGCUGCUCUUGUUUACACGUACAUACAUAUCAGUGUCCCGUAGCUGUGUGUGUGUGUGUGUGUGUGUGUGUGUGUGUGUGUGUGUGUGUGUGUGUGUGUGUGUGUGUGUGUGUGUGUGUGUGUGUGUGUGUGUGUGUGUGUGUGUGUGUAUGAGUAUCAUAAACUUUAUCCUUCAAUUUGCGUUGUGUGUGUGUGUGUGUGUGUGUGUGUGUGUGUGUGUGUGUGUGUGUGUGUGUGUGUGUGUGUGUUAAGGUGCAGUGUUUCAGUUUCCUCAAGCGUGACUGCUCAUCUCUCACUGUUAGGCUUUAGGCGUGGCUCUGGUCACUGCCACGGCGACCAGAGCUUCCCGAGGCACCCAUGACACGAACCUUUAGUCUAUGAGCGAGCCAUCAAAUGUAUUCCCAACGCCAUUCAGCGUCACUGCGCCACACUCGAAGUAUUGAUGCGGUCUUCCUGUCACUGUCUACAUGUAACCGUGAAAUAAAAGCAACUGAAUGCCGAGUGUGAGCGCUGCCCCAACGCAUGUAGGUGAUGUGAGGGUAGCCAUAUGUAUGUCACUGUAUAGUUCUCUCUGGUUCAUAAGAUACGGGAUAGGGAUCUCUCUCUCUCUCUCUCUCUCUCUCUCUCUCUCUCUCUCUCUCUCUCUCUCUCUCUCUCUCUCUCUCUCUUUCUCUCAUUAUUGGUCCAUCUGUGGGGAUGUGGGGAAUACAAAACUAUUUUACAAGUUGAAGCGAACUUAUACACACAUUCCUGGUACUCGAACAAAAGGCAAUGCCAGUCAGGGGGUACGAGGCGCGUCUCUAUCAGGCCCACCAAAUAUAAAAGAACGAUAAUCUUUGGAAUUGCUUAAGUUUCAUUUAAAAUUUGAAAGAAACGGAAGAAGAAUUAUGAACUCAAUAUGCGUUUUAGUGUCGUGAGUCUCUCCCCUUUCUUGCUCCUUAACUCAGAUUUACCUCCUUUCACUUUCGUUUAUCUAACCGAUGUGUACCUUAGAAAGAUCGAAAAAAAAGAUGAAAAGGAGAGAUAAUUAAUCAGCAACACUGGAAGGAGGGCAAGGCAAGACAGGGCAGGGACUGAAGGAGGAAGGCCAGACGAGUCGCUACACAGAUGGAUGGUCUUCACUCAAUGUAUAAUUUAUUACUCACAUAUGUUACUACAACGGUAGGUGGAAAAUAAAUGUCUUGACCGA
This is a long non-coding RNA of Portunus trituberculatus (swimming crab), 2814 nucleotides long. RefSeq lists it as uncharacterized. The record is from RefSeq and is a predicted model, not a curated record. The transcript has 4 exons. Lineage: Eukaryota; Metazoa; Arthropoda; Malacostraca; Decapoda; Portunidae.